Molecule: long non-coding RNA, 1184 nt
Organism: Ctenopharyngodon idella (grass carp)
Lineage: Eukaryota; Metazoa; Chordata; Actinopteri; Cypriniformes; Xenocyprididae
Exons: 6
Source: RefSeq, a predicted model, not a curated record
UGUGAAUGGGACUUUUAUUUUGAUCUGACGGCGUGACGUAAUAAGUCUGCGCCCCGAGCCGCGUCUAUUGUGAAUUGGCUGAAGAAAGGGUGUCCAAACACACAGAAAAACUCCUGCAGUGACUGAGAUCCACGUGACACACUAUUAUAAAGAUGGCGUUUAUUAAGUGGAGAGUGAAGACAUGAAAAUUGAAGAAACAUUCAGUGUGAAACAAGAAGAUACUGAGGAAAAGAAAAAUAUGGUAUUUAUUAAAGAAGAGAGUGAAGACAUGAUGAUUGAAGAAGUAUUCAGUGUGAAACAAGAUGCUGAGGAACAAACAAAUAUGUCAUUUAUUAAAGAAGAGAGUGAAAACAUCAGGAUUGAAGAAGCAUUCAGUGUGAAACAAGAAGAGACUGAGGAACAAACAAAUAUGUCGUUUAUUAAAGAGGAGAGUGAAGACAUCAGGACUGAAGAAGCUUUCAGAGUGAACCAUGAAAAUACUGAGACACAAACAGUUUUACCAUACCAGUUCGAGCCCGAGUCGGAUCCUGAAAAUGCAGAUGAACAAGAUGAUCAGUCGGAACAUCCAUUGCAAGCGCGACUCCAGCAGGAUGUUUCACAGUGGUGCAGAUGUGAAAACUGUAAUAGAAUGCCCAGCGAAGUUGAAAAUGUCUGCUGCAUGGAAAUACCGAAGGUUGGAAGACGAAUGAAUCAGGUUUCAGGGCCUCUGAAAUGCAUUAUACAUCACCCAGGCUUUGAACCGAACUGUUUGAAUCCUUACACCCUGCAGAACAUUUUGAACAUUUACAAAGCUGAUUAUGGACCUUUGAGGCGUAAAACAGAAGAAGCGCGGUACCGUUAUCUUGCCCAUCGAAGCUUUGUCAGCUGGUGCUGGGGCUAUUUAGCACGGAAUAUUAGAGUUGUUCUCCCGUCCUGUGUUGUGCUCCGGAUUCAGCAGGAGUUUCCUGAUGCGGAUGGACAGUUUGUUGGAUUUCGACCGCCCCUUGACUGAACGUGGUGGACAAUAACUUCCUCCUUUGAAGGUUUUUUCAAACUAAGAGGACAGGAAUGUGGGAAUGGGGAUUUCUUUUAGCUGUUCUUCAAAGACGAGCUUCAUCGGGUCUUUUAGAUAAUCUGUAAAACAUUGCAUACAGAAGGAAAUUGUUAUAUUCAUUAAAUUUAAUAUAACCUACCUCUUCAGAACA